Piliocolobus tephrosceles (Ugandan red Colobus) is the source of this 970-nucleotide RNA transcript. It is a transcript of the gene named prohibitin pseudogene, with no coding region annotated. The record is from RefSeq and is a predicted model, not a curated record. The transcript has a single exon. Lineage: Eukaryota; Metazoa; Chordata; Mammalia; Primates; Cercopithecidae.
UCUUAUAGCUGGGAUGAUAUGGGGGAAGAUACUUAUCCCUUCUGGGGAUCAUAUAUAAAUGGUGAUAGUAGUACCUACAGUAUAGUGCUGUUAGAAUUACAUGAGUUAGAUGUGAAAGUCAGUGGAAGCAGGUGUGAGAGGGUCCCACAGAAGAAAACAUGGCUGCCAAAGUGUUUUGAGUCCAUUGGGAAGUUUGGCCUGGCCUUAGCUGCUGCAGGAGGCAUGGUGAAUUCUGCCUUAUAUAAUGUGGAUGCUGGGCACAGAGCUGUCAUCUUUGACCGAUUCCGUGGAGUACAGAACGUUGUGGUAGGGGAAGGGACUCACUUUCUCAUCCCAUCGGUACAAAAACCAAUUAUCUUUGACUGCUGUUCUCAACCAUAUAAUGCGCCAUUCAUCACUGGUAGCAAAGAUUUACAGAAUGUCAACAUCACACUGUACAUCCUCAUCCAGCCCAUCACUAGCCAGCAUCCUCUCAUCUUCACCAGCCUCGGAGAGGACUACGAUGAGCCUAUGCUGCCGUUCAUUACCACUGAGAUCCUCAAGUCACUGCUGGCUUGCUUUGAUGCUGGAGAACUAAUCAUCCAGAGAGAGCUGGUCUCCAGCCAGAUGAGCAAUGACCUGAUGGAGUGAGCAGCCACCUUUGGGCUCAUCCUGGACGACAUGUCUUUGACACAUCUGACCUUCGGGAAGGAGUUAACAGAAGCAGUGGAAGCCAAACAGGUGGCCCAGCAGGAGGCAGAGAGCGCCAGAUUUGUGGUGAAGGCUAAGCAGCAGAAAAAGGCGGCCAUCAUCUCUGCUGAGGGUGACUCCAAGGCAGCUGAGCUGAUCACCAACUCACUGGCCACUGCAGGGGACGGCCUGAGCAAGCUGUGCAAGCUGGAAUCUGGAAGACAUCGCAUACCAGCUCUCACGCUCUUGGAACAUAAUCUGCCUGCCGGCGGGGCAGUCCGUGCUCCUCCAGUUGCCCUAG